CGGGACAACUUAUUGACAUCACUUUAUGAACUCUUCAAACGAAACCCUAACAUAGAAAACAAUAUCAUAAAAAGUAAAUUACAUAGGAAAAAAAUUAUUAAUAAUAAUAAUUACCAAUAUAAAACAUAUAUAUAUAUAUAUGUAAGUAUCAAUAUUAAUAAAUAAAAAGAACACCGCAACUGAAAUCUACUACUAUUACAAAUGGGUGUCCGUAUAUAUAAUAAUAUAUGAAUCAGCGAGUUUGAAAUGAAAGCUUGAAUCACUCAAUCAAUAGUAUUGUAUAGAAACAAAUGAAUGAAGAGCAUAUUAUGUACCUAUAACUAUAAAUGAAAUCAAUAAGCUCAAAGUAUACCUGUACAGAAGAAACUAUAUACAAAUUCGGAGUGCAUUUAAAAAUAUAUACAGAAAACUCGUAUCAUUGAAAAUCAGUGAGACGAGGGAAGAAGAGGAAGAAAAAACAACCUUGUUUGUAUCCCGAGGAGGAAAAUUGGGUGCAGCCCUGUUUGGACACGAUCCGGAUGAAAGAGAAAGUUGAGGUCCGAACAAUAGUAAUAUUUGUUUCUCUCUCUAUAUCUCUCACUCUUAUUUACUCAUCAUCAGGUUAUUGUUGGGCUCCUGGCCUCCUGUUCUGUUUCUGUUUACUGACUUUUUGGGAAGAGGAAAGCCGGUACUCCUCCUACUAUAUAUAUAACUGUGUACAAUAAAUUAUGACAGACAAUUUUUUAGGUUAGACUGACGGUUUCAUUCGUCGUGAAAGCUAUUUUGUAUUAUAUAUAUAUAUAUAUAUGAUUUUCACAACUAUACUUUUGAGUUUUGAGUCUU
RNAcentral lists this long non-coding RNA (822 nucleotides) under Panax ginseng (ginseng). RNAcentral's name for it is "long non-coding RNA (PGIN_LNC016735)". Lineage: Eukaryota; Viridiplantae; Streptophyta; Magnoliopsida; Apiales; Araliaceae. The record is from RNAcentral.